UACGGGGGGGGCAAGCGUUGUUCGGAAUUACUGGGCGUAAAGGGCUCGUAGGCGGCCAUCUAAGUCAGACGUGAAAUCCCCCGGCUUAACCUGGGAACUGCGUCUGAUACUGGACGGCUUGAGUAUGGGAGAGGGAUGUAGAAUUCCAGGUGUAGCGGUGAAAUGCGUAGAUAUCUGGAGGAAUACCGGUGGCGAAGGCGGCAUCCUGGACCAUUACUGACGCUGAGGCGCGAAAGCUAGGGGAGCAAACGGG
This 253-nucleotide ribosomal RNA is filed under the name uncultured bacterium. RNAcentral's name for it is "partial 16S ribosomal RNA". It matches the Rfam family "Bacterial small subunit ribosomal RNA", at positions 524 to 776 of the family's 1533-position model. The record is from RNAcentral.